UGAACGCUAGCUACAGGCUAACACAUGCAAGUCGAGGGGCAGCAUGAUCGAAGCUUGCUUGAUGAUGGCGACCGGCGCACGGGUGAGUAACGCGUAUCCAACCUUCCCUAUAGUAGAGAAUAGCCCGGCGAAAGUCGGAUUAAUGCUCUAUGUUGUAUUUAGAGGACAUCUGAAGAAUACCAAAGGUUUACCGCUAUAGGAUGGGGAUGCGUCUGAUUAGGUAGUAGGCGGGGUAACGGCCCACCUAGCCGACGAUCAGUAGGGGUUCUGAGAGGAAGGUCCCCCACAUUGGAACUGAGACACGGUCCAAACUCCUACGGGAGGCAGCAGUGAGGAAUAUUGGUCAAUGGACGGAAGUCUGAACCAGCCAAGUAAGCGUGCAGGAUGACGGCCCUAUGGGUUGUAAACUGCUUUUAUAUAGGGAUAAAGUCGGGGACGUGUCCCCGUUUGUAGGUACUAUAUGAAUAAGGACCGGCUAAUUCCGUGCCAGCAGCGGC
This 497-nucleotide ribosomal RNA is filed under the name uncultured bacterium. Its description in RNAcentral is "bacterial SSU rRNA". It matches the Rfam family "Bacterial small subunit ribosomal RNA", at positions 30 to 518 of the family's 1533-position model. The record is from RNAcentral.